This 24-nucleotide non-coding RNA is filed under the name Drosophila melanogaster (fruit fly). The record is from RNAcentral. Lineage: Eukaryota; Metazoa; Arthropoda; Insecta; Diptera; Drosophilidae.
UUAUUAUACCCAGGUGAUUACCAC